CCUACGGGUGACUGCAGUCGAGAAUCAUUCACAAUGGGGGAAACCCUGAUGGUGCGACGCCGCGUGGGGGAAUGAAGGUCUUCGGAUUGUAAACCCCUGUCAUGUGGGAGCAAAUUAAAAAGAUAGUACCACAAGAGGAAGAGACGGCUAACUCUGUGCCAGCAGCCGCGGUAAUACAGAGGUCUCAAGCGUUGUUCGGAAUCACUGGGCGUAAGGCGUGCGUAGGCUGUUUCGUAAGUCGUGUGUGAAAGGCGCGGGCUCAACCCGCGGACGGCACAUGAUACUGCGAGACUAGAGUAAUGGAGGGGGAACCGGAAUUCUUGGUGUAGGAGUGAAAUGCGUAGAUAUCGAGAGGAACACUCGUGGCGAAGGCGGGUUCCUGGACAUUAACUGACGCUGAGGCACGAAGGCCAGGGGAGCGAAAGGGAUUAGAUACCCUUGUAGUC
RNAcentral lists this ribosomal RNA (446 nucleotides) under uncultured bacterium. Its description in RNAcentral is "partial 16S ribosomal RNA". It matches the Rfam family "Bacterial small subunit ribosomal RNA", at positions 338 to 795 of the family's 1533-position model. The record is from RNAcentral.